RNAcentral lists this small RNA (152 nucleotides) under Arabidopsis thaliana (thale cress). RNAcentral's name for it is "ATSL104730". The record is from RNAcentral. Lineage: Eukaryota; Viridiplantae; Streptophyta; Magnoliopsida; Brassicales; Brassicaceae.
UAAAUGAAGAUAUUUUGUUAAGAGUAAGAUUAAUGGAUGAUUUAAUGCAAUGUGAAACUUUUAAAUUUUUAUCACUAAGUUUUAUUAUUUUUUAAUGAUGAUGUGUCACUCAUAUGGAGAGAGUUGUCCAACUUUCAUAUAUAUAAUUACUU